Molecule: small nuclear RNA, 103 nt
Filed under: Notamacropus eugenii (tammar wallaby)
Lineage: Eukaryota; Metazoa; Chordata; Mammalia; Diprotodontia; Macropodidae
Source: RNAcentral
GUGCUUGGUCAGGCAGCACUUGUGCUAAAACUGGGAUGUUAUAGAGAUCAGCACAGCCCUGGGCAAGGGGAGCAUACAUAUUCAAGAAGUUUUCUGUAUUUUU